RNAcentral lists this long non-coding RNA (566 nucleotides) under Equus asinus (donkey). RNAcentral's name for it is "lncRNA (ENSEASG00005028925.1)". Lineage: Eukaryota; Metazoa; Chordata; Mammalia; Perissodactyla; Equidae. The record is from RNAcentral.
CAGUUUUCCUCUGCCCUAGAAACAGUCAAAAGAGAGGAAUUGGCAAAGCCAGCCAAGGAGGACCUGUGGCUCACCCCUAAAUCCAACUGGGAGCCAGUGAGCAAGGGUGCCAAUUGCUGUCUUUUGUAAGGUCGGCCUCCUGGAGCAUAGAGUCAGGUAGAGGAGUGGGGAGAGUGGAUUUGGACGGGCAAAUGAAGACUGUCCGGCAGAGUCGUCCGUCAAUAUUGAAUCCAAGUUCCCACUCUGAAACUGCUUAUAGUCAAGUAGGGAAGAUGAGACUCCACCCAACGUCCACAGCACAGGAGUGAGUCUCAUACAACGGGUCCGAGCAGGACGAGACGCCACUUCAUAUCUGUCACAGCCUGCAGGGGUUCCCCAGCGUCUAGCAAAGCCCAGACUCUAAACCGGCAUUAAAGACUGUCUAUAAUGAGACUCAGGUCCUGUUGAAUCCUCUUCUCACCUGAGUCGUGACCAAACUGGAUGGCUCACUAUUGACCGUCACACACUUACUGAAUACCUAUUGAGUUCCUGGCACUGUGCAAAAAUGGGGCUACACAGGGAAUGAG